AGAGUUUGAUCCUGGCUCAGGACGAACGCUGGCGGUGUGCUUCACACAUGCAAGUCGAACGAGGUAGCAAUACCUAGUGGCGGACGGGUGAGUAACGCGUGGGAAUCUGCCUUUAGAUGGGGGAUAACGAGCCGAAAGGUUCGCUAAUACCGCAUAUGCCGCAAGGUGAAAGGAGUAAUCCGUCUAAAGAUGAGCCCGCGUCCGAUUAGCUAGUUGGUGGGGUAAAGGCCUACCAAGGCGACGAUCGGUAGCUGGUCUGAGAGGAUGAUCAGCCACAAUGGGACUGAGACACGGCCCAUACUCCUACGGGAGGCAGCAGUGGGGAAUUUUACGCAAUGGGGGAAACCCUGACGUAGCGACACCGCGUGAGCGAAGAAGCCCUUUGGGGUGUAAAGCUCUGUCAACAGGAACGAAACAAAUGACGGUACCAGCAGAGGAAGCAUCGGCUAACUACGUGCCAGCAGCCGCGGUAAGACGUAGGAUGCAAGCGUUGUCCGGAUUUAUUGGGCGUAAAGAGUUCGUAGGCGGUUUGUUAAGUCUGAUGUUAAAGACCGGGGCUCAACCUCGGAAAUGCAUUGGAUACUGGCAGACUGGAGUGCAGUAGAGGCUAGUGGAAUUCCCAGUGUAGCGGUGAAAUGCGUAGA
RNAcentral lists this ribosomal RNA (644 nucleotides) under uncultured bacterium. RNAcentral describes it as "bacterial SSU rRNA". It matches the Rfam family "Bacterial small subunit ribosomal RNA", at positions 8 to 694 of the family's 1533-position model. The record is from RNAcentral.